ACAUAAAAAAAACCCCAAAAAACAAAGUAAAUGUAUUUUAUUUUGGAUUUACCUAUUACGAUUUGUAUUAUUACUGCUAAUUUUUAUGCUUUGUCAGGACUUCUUUGAAAGUGAGACGAUACAUCUCAAGAGGUUAUCCCCGAAACAAGGAACGUCUCACUUCCCAGGAGAAGGUUCAUAAACAAAAUCUGACGGCACCAACCUUCGACGUGGAGCAGAAUCCGAAGGCCGAGCCGGGAGGAGCCACAGCUCUCCGCCGUGCUGCUGGACCCGGCCCUCGUCCUCGUACGCCGUUUGCUC
This is a long non-coding RNA of Xiphophorus maculatus (southern platyfish), 300 nucleotides long. RefSeq lists it as uncharacterized. NCBI's taxonomy places the organism in Eukaryota, Metazoa, Chordata, Actinopteri, Cyprinodontiformes, Poeciliidae. The record is from RefSeq and is a predicted model, not a curated record. The transcript has 3 exons.